RNAcentral lists this unclassified non-coding RNA (220 nucleotides) under plant metagenome. RNAcentral's name for it is "partial contains small subunit ribosomal RNA, internal transcribed spacer 1, and 5.8S ribosomal RNA". The record is from RNAcentral.
UUUCCGUUGGUGAACCAGCGGAAGGAUCAUUACAGAGAUUGUGCCCUUCGGGGUAGACCUCCCACCCUGUGUUAUUUACGUAUGUUGCUUUGGCGGGCCGCCUCCGGGCUCUCGGCUUCGGCCGAGGUGUGCCCGCCAGAGAACCCACAACCCUGUGUUUAGUGUCGUCUGAGUAUUAUCAAAUAAGUUAAAACUUUCAACAACGGAUCUCUUGGUUCUG